UCCCACGCCUGGCUGAACUCUUGUUUCUGGC
RNAcentral lists this non-coding RNA (31 nucleotides) under Homo sapiens (human). The record is from RNAcentral. Lineage: Eukaryota; Metazoa; Chordata; Mammalia; Primates; Hominidae.